RNAcentral lists this long non-coding RNA (1332 nucleotides) under Equus caballus (horse). RNAcentral's name for it is "lncRNA (ENSECAG00000046118.1)". The record is from RNAcentral. Lineage: Eukaryota; Metazoa; Chordata; Mammalia; Perissodactyla; Equidae.
AGACUCACCUGAUGGUCUCUGGGAGCAUCUUGAUGAGAGGAGGGACCUCUCCAGAGUCUGAGACGUUGGUAGGGGCCAUUUUUCUGACCUGGUCCAGGCCUGCUGACACCGACCCUAGUAGGUGCCAUUGAGAUUCAUCCCUUGGCCUGUUAGCCCAGGGGUCUGCCACACCCACUAGACCACAGAUUUAAUCCAGUUCAGUCAAGGCAAGCAGCCCACCCAUGGACUGGCCCCACCCAACAGCAAGCCCUCUGGCUACUUUUCAGCCUGCAUUGACUGGAUGCCUUGAUCCUCUACAGGCAGAUAAAAGAAGCUCAGAGGGGCCAGCCCGGUGGUGCAGUGGUUAAGUGUCCAUGUUCUGCUUCGGAGGCCCGGGGUUCACCAAUUCAGAUCCCAGGUGCGGACAUGGCACCAUUUGGCAUGCCAUGCUGUGUCUGCACCUAUGGCCUCAGGAGGAGCUCCUUAUGCUCAAUUGACGGAAGAAGAAAAGACUCAAGCCUGGUUUACAGAAACUACUGCAGGAUGAGUUCUGCAGGAUGUGCAGGCCCCGCUGGAAAGUAGACGGCUGCCUCACUACAGGACUCAGACUAGGACUAGAACGCACACCAUCAGCUGUUCUGAUUCUUAGGCCUUUGAACUCAGACUGCAGCCACCCCAUCGACUCUCCUGUGUCUCCAGAUUGCCGACUGCAGAUCUUGUGACUUCCCAGCCUCUAUAAUUAAGCAAGGCAAUAUCCUGUAUUAUAUAUAGGAUAUAUGCAUAUAAUAUAUCCUAUUGGUUCUGUUUCUCUGGUGAACCUUGACUGAUAUACUCAUCAUACCAAGAAUACACUAACUAUUCCAGAACCAACUCCAUCACUCACUCAAAACCAACUUCUUCACAUGGCAUUUAAUUCUAUAUAUAUAUCUCAGAAAUUUCUAUGAAUAUGUUUUUUCACACAUGUGUAUACUAUAUGUGUGUAUGUAGAUUAUGUAUAUACAAUAUGUAACUAUAUAUCUAUAUAUGUAUAUAUGUACAUGUAAAUAUAUAUGAACACUUAUAUGAGAAUUUUUGUGCAAUAGCUCAUAAAAACAUGGGGGACAGAGAAACAGAGAGACAGAAACAGAAGAAAGAGACAGAGACAGAGAGCUGGAGACAGAGUAAAAGACAUAGCAACAGAUCGAUAAUUCAUUUUCUUGGGGUUUUAUAUAAAAAUGUAGUAUUUUUGUUCAGCACAUUUUUAUUGUUUGAAUAACUGUUUAACCUAAUACUAUUUUGGUUUCAUAUUUGUUUUUACGUUUUUACUUGUGUCUUUUGUUACUGGAACAAAUAAAAUGUAUUUAGUAAGAGAAA